UUUCUAAAUCGGAAGGGGGAUGGUCGGGCUGAUUUGCUCUCUGUGGACUCCCGAACGUUUCCGAAAUUGUCCGAUCUUGAGCACCGCUCGCUAGCUGACCGUGCAGCUGCUUAUUUUACUGCGUGUAUUCGCGUCUUCACCAUCCAUCCUUCACUGUUUUUCCAUCAUGGUGGACAUUAUGGUGCUGAUGUUUUUCGCCAUCAUGGGCCUCGUUUUCCUCUCCUACAUCAUCUACAUGCUUUGAUGAUGAGGGGUCCUGUUCGGAUGCGCGGACGGCCAGUCUUCAGCCGUACCCUGGGUGUGUGUUAUCCCACUCCUGCAUCCCUGGUCUCCGUUAUGGACAAUGGUAAAGUAGAAUUGCAUUACGGUCUAAUAGAUAGGCGAUGACGUUUUGCGUAUUUGUAGUAGGAAACAUGUUUUAUGAUGCUGCGGUGAAAGAAAAUGCAAGAAGGAUAGUCUUGGGUGACUCCCUGUAGGCUGUUAGGAUAUAUUUUAAAUUUGGAGAUGAUUUGACGAAGCUGCAUAAAGAAUUAACAAUUGUGCUCAUUGCAAUCAUGUUCUGAUGGAUAACAGGAAGAAGGAUAUAAGUUCCAGGGAGGCUAUAGAUCACCCUGUAGAGAGGAAAAGAACAGUAUCCAGAGUAUGAAGGUUUUAGCUUUGGCUUUUCUUGAUAGUUGGUAAGUAAGGUGUCUUGUACAGUAAAGAUGUUCGUGUGCUGAGGAUGCUCUGUGGUUGGAGCUUAGUGGGGAUGUUAGUUAUGCAUGUCUAUGAUACUUGUAUAAAUAUAUUUGAAGUUUAUUUAGACUAUCUGCCCAGCAACAGCAAAACAGUAUGACUGAAUGUGUAUGUGUUAGAUAUGUAUGUAGAAUUUUGUCCUUUUCUGAUUGUUACACUUGAAAAAAUGAUUAGAAGUAGUUCAUCAACUCAAUAAAAAACGGUAACUGUUUUAAGGCGGUUGUCCUCUUUUUCAGGGAGCAGACCCAGGCUCGGACCAUGAUGUUGUCCCAUUGCUGCCCUCACGCAGGAUGUGAAGAGCAAACCCAGCGGGGAUGAAAACAAAUGGAGAUGAAGCCAAACACCUGUCACCCUUUGCACUGUUGUCAUCUUUCAACACCCACCCAUUCAGAGGAUUCUCUGACCUAUCUGACCCUACAAACUUCUAUCUCCAUACAAAAUCAGUUUAAUCAGUGUUUUUUUUUUCUCUGCGUUUCAAGGUUGUGCAUGCACAUAAUCCUCAUUUGAGGAGAAAUGUUACCACGGCAGGAAGCCAACCGAAUGAUUGCAGGACAGUUUUUUUUUUUCAGGUUGAGUAUAAUUAAGUGAUUGGAUUUGCCUUUUGAAAAGCACUGUGAGUGGCUCUUACUGUAUUACUGUAUUAUGAUAAGGUUGUACAAUAUAAUCUUUUGAUGCCAACCCCUCUGUGGACUCAUGUUUGUUUAUGGAGCUUCAGCCAUGGUGUUAAUUUUAUUUAGUUUGUGUGCUGCCAACAUGUUUUUUUUUCUUACUGUGAACAGAAUUUUCCAUCAGAUUAGAGGGCAGUGUGUUGGGAUCAGAUAUGUAGGAUAAGAUAAGAUAAGAUAAGAAGAACAUUAUUGAUCCCAAAGGGAAAUUCAGAGUUUCAGAGUACCGUCAUUUAAAAGUGGUGUUUGUGUGUUUGUUUUUUCCAUUACUUUGGCUGCUAUAGAAUUACACAAAGACCAAUGGUGAAUGCCUCAGUUUUACCACCAAACCUCAUACAAAUUACCCGUUAUGAUUAAAUAAUGGUGUUUGCACUUGUGAUUCACUAAAGUUAUUGACAGUAUUUCAUAUGUUCUGUCAAAUAAAGAUGAUUUCAAUAAACCCAGUUGCUCCCUCUUUGGUUAAAUACUCAAAGUAAAGUA
This 1880-nucleotide long non-coding RNA is filed under the name Xyrichtys novacula (pearly razorfish). The record is from RNAcentral. Lineage: Eukaryota; Metazoa; Chordata; Actinopteri; Labriformes; Labridae.